RNAcentral lists this ribosomal RNA (253 nucleotides) under uncultured bacterium. RNAcentral describes it as "partial 16S ribosomal RNA". It matches the Rfam family "Bacterial small subunit ribosomal RNA", at positions 524 to 776 of the family's 1533-position model. The record is from RNAcentral.
UACGGAGGGAGCUAGCGUUGUUCGGAAUUACUGGGCGUAAAGCGCACGUAGGCGGCUUUGUAAGUUAGGGGUGAAAGCCCGGAGCUCAACUCCGGAAUUGCCUUUAAGACUGCAUCGCUUGAAUCCGGGAGAGGUGGGUGGAAUUCCGAGUGUAGAGGUGAAGUUCGUAGAUAUUCGGAAGAACACCAGUGGCGAAGGCGGCUCACUGGACCGGUAUUGACGCUGAGGUGCGAAAGCGUGGGGAGCAAACAGG